CCACACUCUGUCAGCAUCAAUGAAAAUGACGUCACACGGGGAAAAUCAUAUUGCCGCUUGCUUGAAGGGAGUUUUUUCAUGGACUGGUGAGAUAGUGAGAGAGGGGAGUUCGUGGUGACGGUACCAAGUAUUGGAAUGCAGAACAAGUCAUUGCAGCUUCAUACAGUUGCUGCACACGCGCAAUGCAGAGAGGAAAAAGGGAGGAGAGGAAAAACGAGACAACUGAAAUGAACUCCAUACGGCUAGACUAUUGGCAUCAGUGUAGGCUCGUUAAGAAAUUUUAAGAAAUCCUUCAUACCCAUACAUCCUUCAGUAGUGAAUUGAUUUACAUGUUCUACCUGGGAAAUUGAAAUUAUUAUUUAAAUAAUGUAUCGUAGAAAAUGCCAAAUCUGAAGCUUUUUUUGUGAUAUCUUCUGAUAAAUUGACAAGCAAUAUAGAUGCAUCCAGAAUGCGGAUUCGUAUGAGGUUGCUUUAUUUCUGGCUUUAUCACACGUUGAACAACCUCCGCAAAUGGAAAAUUGAUGGACUACCCACGCGACAGAAUUGACAUUACAAAGGCCCACUCAUGUGCCUCUCUCGCUCUCUCGCAAUUUUUACUUCUCAAUGGUUGAGUGAGAGAGCUGAGGAAAAAAGGGGAGAGAUACUAUAGUGACACAAUGUAAAACAAGCAAUGUUCAAUGACAAUGGGAGAAUCCCUAUAAAGUGGGUGUUGACGCGGUUCAAUGAACUUUGGUUGAAAUUUUUUUCAUUCUACUUUUUCCCCAUGGCUCGCUAAUUUUUAAUAGUAUUCUCUUAAUUUGUUUAAAGAGGAUUUUGAAGGAUAAUUAUGUGGAUUGGAUUGGUAUCAGGUAGAGUGUGCGCGUACGUGUGCGUAUGCGUAUGCGUAUGCGUAUGCGUAUGCGUAUGCGUAUGCGUGCAACAGCACCUAAUGUCCGUGUGCAAGUUCCAUUGGCGACGGUCACUUCUAUAUUUAGAUAUGCACCACGAGCCGACGAGCAAGCUUCUUCCUCCUCCAACUUUCUUCGGCAUUUCUCAACAAACAAAGACGUGAUGAUUUUUCUCUCGAGUCUUUGCCGAUCUGGGAAGUGAUGUAUCUCAUGUAGGAGAGAUUCUGUGAAUCGGCAAUAAAUAGCAACAAAUAGCAAACUUUUAUUUUUCCGGAAUUUCACGUAUUUUUUUAAUACCUCCCUAAGCAAUAGGUGAGAAAAGAGUGAGUGUGAUGAAAGGGUCCUUUGCUCCGGUGGAAUUUUUCUUGUAACCUCUACUGUCGAUCCACGGGCUUGGGGUGGAAAAGAGCAAGAUGGAGAAAGGCAGGACGAAGGGCAACUUAAACGAGAGGUAGCAUCGAUGACAUGCAUUGCGAAUGCCAAGAGAUCCUUGCUGCAGUUCAAAUGGAGAGAUAAUAUCUUUUGGCUGUGGUCGAGGUGAUAGUGGCACGCUGAUGCCAAGAGAUUGAAUCUCCAAUUGCAAUCGACAGAUACAAUCUCCUGGUAUUUCACGAUGGAUACAAAAAUGGAGAACAAAUCGCUCUCCAGGCUGAUCUAUUGAUUUUCAUUCAUUUCAAUUGGGAUAGAUUUAUUUGUGGUGAGCGAGUGUCUUUUGAACGAGAUUUUCUUUUCAUUUUUAAAGCACAUGAGUAAUUUAUAUGGUAAUACAAAUGUUAUAAAUCGUUAA
Long non-coding RNA from Fopius arisanus, 1674 nucleotides. RefSeq lists it as uncharacterized. NCBI's taxonomy places the organism in Eukaryota, Metazoa, Arthropoda, Insecta, Hymenoptera, Braconidae. The transcript is spliced from 4 exons. The record is from RefSeq and is a predicted model, not a curated record.